RNAcentral lists this ribosomal RNA (423 nucleotides) under uncultured bacterium. RNAcentral's name for it is "partial 16S ribosomal RNA". It matches the Rfam family "Bacterial small subunit ribosomal RNA", at positions 360 to 775 of the family's 1533-position model. The record is from RNAcentral.
AAUAUUGGACAAUGGGGGUAACCCUGAUCCGGCCAUGCCGUUUGUGUGAAUUAUGUCUUCGGUAAGUAAAGCACUUUAAUUUGGGAGGAAGGGCUUUAGGUUAAUACCCUGAAGUUUUGUCGUUACCAACAGAAUAAGCACCGGAUAACACUGUGCGAGCAGCCCCGGUAAUACAUAGGGUGCAAUCGUUAAUUGGAAUUACUGGGCGUAAAGCGCGCGUAGGUGGUUCAGUAAGAUGGGUGUGAAAUCCCCGGGCUUAACCUGGGAACUGCUUUCAUAACUGCUGAGCUAGAGUACGGUAGAGGGUAGUGGAAUUUCCUGUGUAGCGGUGAAAUGCGUAGAUAUAGGAAGGAACACCAGUGGCGAAGGCGACUACCUGGACUGAUACUGACACUGAGGUGCGAAAGCGUGGGGAGCAAACAG